CGGCUCCUGGGAGGCACCCUGUGUGAACUCUGCCCAGAUCACUGUGUUGGUGGGUGCGGGACUGGUGCAUACCGAUGGCCUCCAGGAUGAGCGUGUAGGCGGCUGUGGUCUCCCGGUCCAGGCCCACCACGGUUCUCACAACGGCAUCGCGGUAACCCACGCUGAACUUCCCAUCCACGUUGCCACCUGUGGGUGAAGGAGAGGAAGCUUCCGGCUGGGAAACAGAGCUCCCGGCCAGGGGAAGCGGGGACUCUGCUCCUGAGCUGGGACCCGCGAUGGAAGCCCUCCCAGAUUUGGAGCAGCUGUUCCAGCUUAAGGACCCCCACCAUUAUCUGGAGUUCAACCACGUAGAAGGCUGGAUUCACAGACUUCCCCUUCCCCGCUUUGCUUUGAUUUGUGAGAGAGUAACAACAAAAAUAAAAUUACAUCAAGCGUUCUUUUUUAAAAGUCACUUGAGGAUUUCAUUAUUAUUAUUUUUUUAAAAAACUGUUU
RNAcentral lists this long non-coding RNA (492 nucleotides) under Pan troglodytes (chimpanzee). RNAcentral describes it as "long non-coding RNA NONPTRT002221". The record is from RNAcentral. Lineage: Eukaryota; Metazoa; Chordata; Mammalia; Primates; Hominidae.